RNAcentral lists this ribosomal RNA (741 nucleotides) under Streptomyces sp. THGR22. RNAcentral's name for it is "bacterial SSU rRNA". It matches the Rfam family "Bacterial small subunit ribosomal RNA", at positions 76 to 832 of the family's 1533-position model. The record is from RNAcentral. Lineage: Bacteria; Bacillati; Actinomycetota; Actinomycetes; Kitasatosporales; Streptomycetaceae.
CACUUCGGUGGGGAUUAGUGGCGAACGGGUGAGUAACACGUGGGCAAUCUGCCCUUCACUCUGGGACAAGCCCUGGAAACGGGGUCUAAUACCGGAUACAACCACUAGGGGCAUCUCUUGGUGGUGGAAAGCUCCGGCGGUGAAGGAUGAGCCCGCGGCCUAUCAGCUUGUUGGUGAGGUAACGGCUCACCAAGGCGACGACGGGUAGCCGGCCUGAGAGGGCGACCGGCCACACUGGGACUGAGACACGGCCCAGACUCCUACGGGAGGCAGCAGUGGGGAAUAUUGCACAAUGGGCGAAAGCCUGAUGCAGCGACGCCGCGUGAGGGAUGACGGCCUUCGGGUUGUAAACCUCUUUCAGCAGGGAAGAAGCGAAAGUGACGGUACCUGCAGAAGAAGCGCCGGCUAACUACGUGCCAGCAGCCGCGGUAAUACGUAGGGCGCGAGCGUUGUCCGGAAUUAUUGGGCGUAAAGAGCUCGUAGGCGGUCUGUCGCGUCGGAUGUGAAAGCCCGGGGCUUAACCCCGGGUCUGCAUUCGAUACGGGCAGACUAGAGUGUGGUAGGGGAGAUCGGAAUUCCUGGUGUAGCGGUGAAAUGCGCAGAUAUCAGGAGGAACACCGGUGGCGAAGGCGGAUCUCUGGGCCAUUACUGACGCUGAGGAGCGAAAGCGUGGGGAGCGAACAGGAUUAGAUACCCUGGUAGUCCACGCCGUAAACGGUGGGAACUAGGUGUUGGCGACAU